AUGUGCGCCUCGUACACUGCCGCGCCCAUGCGCCCCACGCCGAAUUGACGACUGUUCGCGAGGAUAUGGCAACC
Molecule: small RNA, 74 nt
Filed under: Xanthomonas axonopodis
Lineage: Bacteria; Pseudomonadati; Pseudomonadota; Gammaproteobacteria; Lysobacterales; Lysobacteraceae
Description: sX9
Source: RNAcentral